AUAAAUAAUGCUGAUUCGACAUUUGAAAGUGGUUAUGAAGGGCGACGCCGAGGUUAUGGUAGUAGGAGGCGGGCGGUUCGUCGGCAUGCUGUGAAUCGCCGCAGCUCCAGCGACGAGCAAGCUGUGGUCCCAGAUUGCGCGGCGGGU
Molecule: non-coding RNA, 147 nt
Organism: Caenorhabditis elegans
Lineage: Eukaryota; Metazoa; Nematoda; Chromadorea; Rhabditida; Rhabditidae
Source: Ensembl